Molecule: ribosomal RNA, 445 nt
Filed under: uncultured bacterium
Lineage: Bacteria
Description: partial 16S ribosomal RNA
Rfam family: Bacterial small subunit ribosomal RNA
Source: RNAcentral
GUGAGGAAUAUUGCGCAAUGGAGGCAACUCUGACGCAGCCAUGCCGCGUGCAGGAAGAAGGCGCUACGCGUUGUAAACUGCUUUUAACCGGGAAGAAACCCCAGGACGUGUCCUGGGUUGACGGUACCGGAGGAAUAAGCACCGGCUAACUUCGUGCCAGCAGCCGCGGUAAUACGGAGGAUCCAGGCGUUGUCCGGAUUUAUUGGGUUUAAAGGGUGCGUAGGCGGAUCUUUAAGUCAGUGGUGAAAGCCUGCAGCUUAACGGUAGAAUUGCCAUUGAAACUGGCGCUCUUGAGUGCGCUUGAAGUGGGCGGAAUGUGCCGUGUAGCGGUGAAAUGCUUAGAUAUGGCACAGAACACCAAUUGCGAAGGCAGCUCACUAAGGCGAUACUGACGCUGAGGCACGAAAGCGUGGGGAUCGAACAGGAUUAGAUACCCUUGUAGUCC